GACGAACGCUGGCGGCGUGCUUAACACAUGCAAGUCGAACGGAAAGGCCCUGCUUUUGUGGGGUGCUCGAGUGGCGAACGGGUGAGUAACACGUGAGUAACCUGCCCUUGACUUUGGGAUAACUUCAGGAAACUGGGGCUAAUACCGGAUAGGAGCUCCUGCUGCAUGGUGGGGGUUGGAAAGUUUCGGCGGUUGGGGAUGGACUCGCGGCUUAUCAGCUUGUUCGUGGGGUAGUGGCUUACCAAGGCUUUGACGGGUAGCCGGCCUGAGAGGGUGACCGGCCACAUUGGGACUGAGAUACGGCCCAGACUCCAACGGGAGGCAGCAGUGGGGAAUAUUGCACAAUGGGCGGAAGCCUGAUGCAGCAACGCCGCGUGCGGGAUGACGGCCUUCGGGUUGUAAACCGCUUUCGCCUGUGACGAAGCGUGAGUGACGGUAAUGGGUAAAGAAGCACCGGCUAACUACGUG
RNAcentral lists this ribosomal RNA (468 nucleotides) under uncultured bacterium. RNAcentral describes it as "partial 16S ribosomal RNA". It matches the Rfam family "Bacterial small subunit ribosomal RNA", at positions 28 to 507 of the family's 1533-position model. The record is from RNAcentral.